GAAUGUUCUAUACAGACUUGCAUCAUUUUGAUCACCAGGAUUGAUUUGGCAGAUUUGUUUGGCUAGGCUGGUGCCUCCUUCCUCCUUCACUGCUUCAUGUGUGUAUUCCAAAGUUGCAUGCACAGUCAUUCAGUCAAAGAGGACAGCUUUCCCCAACAGAGGAACACUGUUUCCUCAGUUAAGGGUGUAUGAGUAGCUGUGCUCCCCUGCCAGAACCUCCCAGACAGGCCCUCAAGAAUUGCCCUUAAUACUCUACUUACAAAGAUAUAGGCCUUUUCCAGCUUAU
This 286-nucleotide small nuclear RNA is filed under the name Octodon degus (degu). RNAcentral's name for it is "7SK RNA (ENSODEG00000023098.1)". It matches the Rfam family "7SK RNA". From Rfam's summary of the family: 7SK was discovered as an abundant small nuclear RNA in the mid-70s but a possible function has only recently been suggested. Two independent studies have found that 7SK RNA binds the CDK9/cyclin T complex (known as elongation factor P-TEFb). Lineage: Eukaryota; Metazoa; Chordata; Mammalia; Rodentia; Octodontidae. The record is from RNAcentral.